UGGGUUGGCGGGCUCCGUGCUUCGGCAUCGAACCGUCCGCGCGCACACCACGUCAGUUACGCAUCAAGAUCUUCUUGUGCAAAAAAAUGGAUUCCUGUGCAUUCUACCUAUCGUAAAGGUAUGACGCCUCUCGCUGACCCUUUCCUUCCUUGACCCAUGUGGCCAGGGAGGACUUCGUAGCGGCGCCUGCGCACCCCGCAUUGUGCUUUGCGCAUUGCGACGGUAUUUAGGUUGCUGCUUGUUGCCUCGGAUACGGUACAUUCGGUGGGCUUGGGGUCCUAGUACCCUCGUUGUCCGAAAUUCCGAGCGUUACGACGCUAGAGAUGCACGACUGCCAUGCUCGUUCCGGGCUAUCUCGUGCGGGCUUGGUGUCGGCAAAGGAAUGCUACCUGGUU
This 395-nucleotide unclassified non-coding RNA is filed under the name Alchemilla mollis. RNAcentral describes it as "partial external transcribed spacer". Lineage: Eukaryota; Viridiplantae; Streptophyta; Magnoliopsida; Rosales; Rosaceae. The record is from RNAcentral.